This is a non-coding RNA of Ameiurus melas (black bullhead), 74 nucleotides long. Lineage: Eukaryota; Metazoa; Chordata; Actinopteri; Siluriformes; Ictaluridae. The record is from the annotation of a GenBank genome assembly.
GGCAGUGGUGGCUUGAUGGUUAAGGCUCAGGUUUACUGAUCAGAAGGUCCGGGGUUCAAGACCCAACAUUGCCA